Molecule: unclassified non-coding RNA, 308 nt
Filed under: Hevea brasiliensis (rubber tree)
Lineage: Eukaryota; Viridiplantae; Streptophyta; Magnoliopsida; Malpighiales; Euphorbiaceae
Source: RNAcentral
GAUUGCAAACAUGUGAGAGGUUUGGUGAGUAACCACCAUAAUCAAAAGUUCAUUAAUUUUUCAUUGCAUCAAUUUCAUGCCAUUAAUUUACAAGAAAGAGAAAGAUAACACAAGUAUAGUUAAAUUUGGGGUGGGCAUGAACAUAGAUUUGGUUAUAUGUUAGUAUGAUAUUUAAGAUUUUAAGUUGGUUCUAAGCUAAAUUUGUUCCUUCAUUAUUGAUUAUAUGAGAAUUUUUGUGAAAGCUUUUCAUUUGCUUCUUGUCGAUUGAAGUUUUAUUUACCCUUUUGAACGAAAAAAAUAGCAGCUUA